RNAcentral lists this ribosomal RNA (1098 nucleotides) under Triticum aestivum (bread wheat). Its description in RNAcentral is "partial small subunit ribosomal RNA". Lineage: Eukaryota; Viridiplantae; Streptophyta; Magnoliopsida; Poales; Poaceae. The record is from RNAcentral.
AUGAAUAAAUAUUUUCUUAGGAGGAUCCGGAUAUUUUGUACCACUACUAAAUCUUCAUUAAGGACACCCUAUGUGUACCUACCAUACACACACAUAGAUCUAUAUAUAGGGGGUUCCACCGAGAAGAUUGUGCUCUUCGUCCUCAAGCAUCCCAAAAUGGCCAAACUUAGUUUAUUCCUACAAACAAUGUAUGUAUUUAUAUUUCUUCUUGCACAUUCGAACAGGGGUGUUCGACUAUACCCUGUUCUUCAAGAGGGUAAUAAUUCACUGCAACAAGAUAUGGUAUAUAGUUUAGCCAAACGGAGGUUGCCAAGCCUGAAGUCAAAUUCCCUCGAGGCAAAAUUUUCCGGACAAGGAAAUAAUUCAUCGGGUGUACUAUAUUAUGCAACGCAUGACUCAUGGGGAGGCCCUGAUGCUAGCUACUAUGGAUUUCAUGUCAUCACUGAUGUGUACGGCCAUGAGCUAAAACGUGGUCAAUUAACUCGCAGUGGAAUUUGGGUUGGCCACAGUGGAGAUGGACGUAAAUCAAGCUAUAAUGGAGUUAGUGUUGGAUGGCAUAUUGCUCCAGAAAAAUAUGGUGACUCUCAUCCUCAUUUAUUUACCUACUGGACGAGGGAUGGAUAUGAGAGUACUGGGUGCUACAACAUGGAUUGUCCCGGUUUCAUAGCAGCAAGCGGCGCUACUGUUACUCCGGGAGCUCUCAUAAAUCCAUCUUCAAAGGUUACGCUUCGAGUGUUGAAGGAUGACCAAAGUGGACACUGGUGGGUGUACUAUGGCUUCAACGGCGUCCCAACGGCUGUGGGCUACUACCCAAAGUCAUUGUUCACAAACAUGGCAAAAAAGGCAAACCAGUUCUCGUUUGGUGGCUUCGUGUUCGCAGAAAGGGCACUUCCAACUCCUCCAUUGGGCAGUGGCGUCCUUCCUGGUGGCAAGGGACGUGCGGCAUCGUUUACUGACUUGCGCCUCAUUGAACGGGAUGGAAGGAGCAGCCCCAUCAUGAAGGACUUGCCUACUGUUAUAUCCAACAAUAAAUGUUAUUCUAUCACUCCUAUUGUUAAUUCCGGGUGCUUCUAUGGCGGGCCAAGAGGUUGUGUGUAA